Molecule: ribosomal RNA, 496 nt
Filed under: uncultured bacterium
Lineage: Bacteria
Description: partial 16S ribosomal RNA
Rfam family: Bacterial small subunit ribosomal RNA
Source: RNAcentral
GAUGAACGCUGGCGGCGUGCCUAAUACAUGCAAGUCGAGCGAACAGAUGAGGAGCUUGCUCCUCUGACGUUAGCGGCGGACGGGUGAGUAACACGUGGAUAACCUACCUAUAAGACUGGGAUAACUUCGGGAAACCGGAGCUAAUACCGGAUAAUAUAUUGAACCGCAUGGUUCAAUAGUGAAAGAUGGUUUUGCUGUCACUUAUAGAUGGAUCCGCGCCGCAUUAGCUAGUUGGUAAGGUAACGGCUUACCAAGGCAACGAUGCGUAGCCGACCUGAGAGGGUGAUCGGACACACUGGAACUGAGACACGGUCCAGACUCCUACGGGAGGCAGCAGUAGGGAAUCUUCCGCAAUGGGCGAAAGCCUGACGGAGCAACGCCGCGUGAGUGAUGAAGGUCUUCGGAUCGUAAAACUCUGUUAUUAGGGAAGAACAAAUGUGUAAGUAACUAUGCACGUCUUGACGGUACCUAAUCAGAAAGCCACGGCUAACUACGU